AAAUACAAUUAUUUAUUCGAUACUGGUCGAAUAAUGAUAUUUUGAAUAAUGAUAUUUGAGUUUUUUUUAGUACUUCAGUGUUUUGUCUUUUUUCACACAUUUCUCUGGAUACUAAUCACCAAACUGUGAUGUAUUUCGCGACGAGAAGUCGUAAACUUACAUAAUUUAAAAAAUAUAAAGAUCAUCGAAUUUUUAUUAGUAUUCAAUUCAAUUUUGAUUAGUAUUCAGAGAAAUAUAUGAAAAAAGAUAAAACACUGAAUAAAAAUUCAAAUAUUAUUUGCACCCAUGUCUACAGUAUCCGAUUUAUUCGAACAAAUUAUUUCAUCCAUUUAUUCGAACAAGCUAUUCUAUCUAUUUAUCCGAACAAACUAUUACGUUUAUUUAUUCGGGCAUUAUACUAUUAUUCGAAUCAUAAAGCGAAUAUUUACUAACUGUUUUUGAUUUUACAUAUUAUAGUUUUAUGAGGAUAUAUUUUAUACGAAGACAUUGAAGAUCAAGUCAAUUAGCAUACAGUGAUCGAAAUAAUUUUCUUCGUGGAAUAAACAUGCGCUUAAUAUGCAGGUUUUCAGUUUGUAUGUUAUUGUUUAUAUUAAUAAAUAAUUAUUUUUCAGUUAGACUGCGGAACCUCUGCCAAUACAUACGGCGAAAAGCACGGUGAACCGUAUAAGGCGUAUAGAAAAUUGGAAAAUUGCUCGAAAAAGCGUAAAAAUAAACAGCAUAGUGUAAAGAAUAGCGUUAAUAAUAAAAUUUAUGAUUGGUUUUUGUAGAUUUUUAGGGGUUCCUAUUUUGGACAAAAUCCUGCAGACACCGGAUCAGGUGUCUAUUACGAACUAUCUCAUGUAGAUGUGAAGAUAUUUUAGUCCAUAACCGCGAUUCUUAAUUUCAAGCAAGUCGCGGAUGAUUAUGGAGAUUUGAGCAGACGGCAAUAUUUGAGUGACGGCGUCGGAGGAGAGGACAAGUGCCGACACCGCUGCAGCGGAGGCGUUCGCCGAGAGUAUUUCAACAGAGAAUCCAGGAAGAGACUUUUUCCUGGGAGUAUAUUUAUAACAUUGAUAAAACCAGAAUUUUGUGGGAAUAUAUUUCCAGGAAAACGCUUGCCGGAUCCUCUGAAAGAAAGGUUUAUGGUAAAAGAGCUCUGAAAUACCACCGCGUGGUCCUCCAGCAGGAUGCUGUCGAAAAUAUGAUCCUGCUACUGGAUAAUUGUACUGCACACGGGAUCGACGGACAAUCUGAAAUGGACACUCAAUUUGAAAUUGUUGAUAUUUUUGAUAUUAUUGAUAUUUUUGUCAAAAUUAAGAACACUUACCGACACAAAUUCUUGCAAAAUUUUUUGCAGUCCGAGGAUGAUGUUGGAGGGAGGGAGGGAGGGAGGGAGAGAGAGAGAGAGAGAGAGAGAGAGAGAGAGAGAGAGAGAGAGAGAGCGAAAGAGAGAGAGAGCGAAACUACCUGGGAUGGCAGCGGCCAGCAUGUUGAUGUGUAUUACUACGAAUAUAUUGUAAUGCUAGGAUAAAAACGAUGACUUUAUUAUUUCUAAUUUUUUAUACAUCAAAAUUGUUUAGUAUAUUGGUCAGAUUUUUCCAAUUAAAAUGAUACCAAACACAACAUUCUUUAGACCAUACUUACUCAUUAUACGUUGCAAGUAACUUAUUUUAUUUGCGAAAAAAGUAUUAGAAAAACCGAUUCUUAACAUAUGAAAUAUUAAAGGCAACAAAGAAGGUACGUAUGUCGUUCGAAAGAAAAUAUCAGUGAAGUUAUGCUACUCGAGCCUAUAUUCGACAACGGUAAGAAGAGACUGUGGCUGAGUUAGAUGCCGAUAGGAAGAAGCCAUGGCUGAGUUAGGUGACGGUAGCAUAAGACAUCGCUCGGUUCGACUGAGGACGAGUCUACGCGUUUGGCGGAGAGUGUAAUGGAACACUUUUCUGUACGUUUUGCAUGAACCCUGGAAUUUUAAGAGGUCGAACAUCGAGGAAGAACGACACUGUUUAUAUAUGAGAUCCUCGAAACUCAGCGCCGAUAGCACAACGGAUCGCAGAUGUGGCGACUAAGUACAAGGGCUGGAACCGAAGCCACGUUUUCUUAUAAGGACGAAAGUCAACUUGUUACUCUUAUUUCAAUCGUUUUUACAACGUAACAACGGCAAUAUUCAUAAAGCAAUGAAGCAAUUACCAAAGUAAAAGUCGCCCAACGUGCUAACUUUACCCUCGUUGAGUAUCUCUUAUUAGAGAGUCUCUAAAAUGAUGCAUGUAUGGUGAGACAGAUGAAGACGGAAAAGUAUAGUAUAACAAAUAAACCUUAAAUCCAGCAAUUAUUUUUGUGUGUGUUUUGUUGUGAAUCCCACAUAUUAUUACGCCAUCGCAGAAGUCCACGCAUCGAGACAUUUAUUGUUAUUUAUUUAUAUUAUUAUUUAUUAAUAAUGUCACCUGUCUUGAUCGCUAGGUGACCAGUUAUCAACUGACGGCCCAACAGAUUCGUAGUAACCUCUUCUAUUAUCUUUUUAGGGGUUGUUCGCCGCAGGACAGCCGAUGUAAUAAUAUUCUAAAAACAAUAUACCUACAAAAAUAAUAUUAAUGUCCAUGGCUUUUACGUUGCGUGUCUCGCUCUAAACAGACGUGAAUAGAUUGGAGACCUAAUUAUGCAGAACAGGUUGAACCAUAAGAUUUCGCAGCCAUCGUACAUUGCGGGAGAAGAAAUUGCUUCGUUACAUAAAUGAGGAAAUUCGGCGAAG
Megalopta genalis is the source of this 2725-nucleotide non-coding RNA. Lineage: Eukaryota; Metazoa; Arthropoda; Insecta; Hymenoptera; Halictidae. The record is from RefSeq and is a predicted model, not a curated record.